This 255-nucleotide non-coding RNA is filed under the name uncultured Frisingicoccus sp. The record is from RNAcentral. Lineage: Bacteria; Bacillati; Bacillota; Clostridia; Lachnospirales; Lachnospiraceae.
AGAACUCUUAACUUGAAUAGUCAAAUGAUAGAGCCAACGAUAAGUUGGGCAACCCUCUUGAAGGACUAUCCCUAAUACUCCGACUGGCUAUAUAUAACGAAAGUUAAAUAGUCAGAAGCUCGGUGAAGUCGGCAGAAAGAGUACCUAAGUCAAUGAAAUAGGUAAGUAAAGAUUGGUACACAAGUGGCUAGAGCCCACCUGUCAAGAAAACCUAAAGUAAACGAUAUGGGAAAUGAUAUGCCGGGGGUCUAUAAA